CAUAAUUGCGAAGAGAAUAUUUACUUGUCUUAUAGUAGAAAAUUUAGAACAAAUUAGUAAUGGGAGGCAUCCAUGCAACAUAAAAAAUAAAUAAAACAGUAAUAUACCUACGUUCAACUCGUAAUAAAUUGCAAAGUGCUCGAUUUUGUGGAACACACAUCACAUGAACUAAAUUUGUUCAUGCAUUAACCACACAACAGAGCCGUAAUCAAGAUGAGGUUGGAAAAGUGAAGGCUUUAUAUUAUAAAGCCUUGCAGCGAAAAUUAAUUCACAAUUCUUAGGAUUCGACAAGAAUUCAUUGCGCGUCAUCCGCUUAGAAAUCCAUUUUAAAUCUCCAUAGAGACGUAAACAUACUCAAUUGUAUUAAAAUCAGUAUUACAGUGGAAUGAUACUAAACUGUAUAGCAUUUGAGAUAUCAUUUAUACAAAAUGAUAAAUAGUAAAUAGCAAGGGACCCAUUGUACUUCUCCUGCAAGUGACUGUAAUCUAACAAACUAUUACCGUUGACUGAAAAAAUAUGAUAUUCUCAGACGGAGUUAGAUACACAUGAAAAAAGCGUAAACUUGAAUCAUCAAAACCAACAUGAACAAAUUAGUUUCUUUAGAAUAAUAGAAUGAGAGACCACAUCGAACAUAAUCAUCAACCUUAUUUGAGGUCUAUACUUUAUUUAUGUAUUAAUAAUGUGUUGUUAAUGUUUCUUCAUCCCCUUCUCCAGAUCAUCAUGCCACGAGUAAUGCCAGCGGCAUUGCGAUGUUUGUGCAACACGCAGAAGGGGCACAGAUGUAAAAGGAAGACAAGGCACCCAACAAGAAUAUGCCACCAACAUCGGAGAAACUUCGCCGACGAUGCCGCAAUGGAAGCUUUCAUCGAUCGCCGACCUCGUCGCUGUACUGCAUUGACGCUGAAAGCCGCUCAAUGCAAACGCAAUGGCAUAUUCGUUUUCGGCUACGCAUUGCAUGAUUACUGCAUGCAACAUUAUCUCAUACAACAGGCUGCCAUAUGAUCCGGUGGUCACCGUCUGAAUCGUGAGCUUUUCCAGUCUUUCCUCUCGUCAUCUCCAGUCUUCUUCUUCGCCACUACACCUUCAUCUACACAUCUUCGCCAUCUACACAGACAUCUACAUAUCCAGUCAUCAUAGUCGCCAUCACCAACAUCACCAUCAACAUAGAACUACUUCAUCUCAGCAUUCAUCAUUAUUAUGUUGUCUCUUCCAUGGUGUGAUCCAUGUGAUGAUGAUGCAGAAAGAAGUCUGUGUUUGAAGUCACCAACUACUCUUCUGGGUCCUACCUGACACCUGAACUGUGAUGAUUCACGCAACAGGUUGGCACUGGGUAGAUGAUAAGCAGGUUCUUAGAGUCAACGGGAGGUAAGGAAGUCAUACUUUUAUGUAGCAUUAAUGCCUGCAAAUGCAAUGACAUUUUCUCUAUCAGUGGUACAAAAAAAAAUUAUUUGGGAUUUAUAUAUUACACAUUGGACACGAUUGGAAGAGAGUUAAAACAGGAGGGUUUAAUGGGAUCACAUUUCCUCUAUCAAUUGAACAAAAUUAUAAGAAAUAUUUAGAAUAUAUAGAUUACACAUUGGACACAGUUUAGCAGGAUUAGUAAAACAUGAUGGGUAAGAUAGGAGGGGGUUGAAGUUCUUACCUAUUUUCCAGACUAGUUAUAAUGACAAAGGUCAGACCAUUUCAUUUCAUGUCAUGUCAUUCCUACAUUUCAUUUCUACAUUUCAUUCCUACAUUUCUUGAUAUAAUUGUAAUUCAACAUUCUAUAUUCUAACAAUGCAAUUUGUAUAUAGGCAGAAACUAAACCUAAGAAAAUAAGCAAAACGGGAUAAAAUGAUAAUAAAGUCCAUGAUCAAAAUAAAUAUCCCAAACAAGGGCAGAUUGAUCCAAAUUCCCUACUGGUUCCUCCAUUCCACAGAGGAUUUUUAAUUGGUUUCAGAGUGUCUAAGUCACUAUGUGGAAGGAAUCCAAAUCAUAGAGGGCAUUACAUGUGUACCCUUGAUUCAAAAUGCAGAGAGUCAUGGACAAAGUCAUGGACAAAGUCAUGUACAAAUUCAUGAGAAAGGCUCCUUCGUGUACUGGCCCUCCGUUUGACCUCCCAUCCCGGAGCGGUGGGAACUGUAGCCCAGAUUGGCAUGAAAGCAAUUGCUUUAUGCAGUCUGGUUUGCACAAAGAUGUAGCAUUUUCAUAUUCAGCUAUCCUCCAAGUUUUGCCACACCUCCUUUAUAAGAUGUAACAUAUACAUGUAGAACAUCUUAGAAGAGUUCACCAUCAUUUUUUUUACUCUUGAUGAAAGAGGGAUGAUGAAUUUGACUGUAUUGAUAUACAUGUAUAAAUCUUUAUCAAGAAUUAUCAUUAUUAUUGGUACCAGUUGUCAUGGUAAUCUUGGCUACCUCAUCAGUUCAGGGCAAUUCAUGCUUGAGUAUUUGAUGCCAAGCGAUGAUGGAGUAUAUCAGAAUCAUAUCAGAAGUAUGGCUGUCAUUUAGUUGCACCUUGUAAAUCACGUCUGACGUCAUGUCUGAACUUUCAGUUUACCCUGAGCUGGUAUAAUAAUACUACAGCAUUUGUUAUGCGCCAUCAAUCUAGUAAACUAUUCUAAGGCACAGAGGGAGACUAUUACCCUGGCUUUAGCACGGCUGCCAUUACAACGCUCUAGCAUUUCAAGGAAUUAAUUCCUUCCAGGUACCCAUUUACAUCACAUGGGCUGAGUGUGGCAAAUGUAGAUCAAUGUCUUGCCAAAGGACAUUGUUGUACAUGAUGUUUAGUGGUCAUUGAUACCAACAAUCUGUAAUGCAUGUAUGCUAGGAGACCAGUCUGAAACCACUGCCUUUUCUAUUGCAAUGAUUUAUGCCAACAGAAAUGGCAUUUAAUAGAUAGAACUCCCACUUUUUCUUCCUCUAUCAAAAGCAUCCACAUUGCAAUUUUUUUAAUAUUAAUUUCAAUUUGUUCAUAAUGCUUGACUGAAAUAUAUAUGUUAUUCUGACAAAAGCUUCAAAAUAGGAUGGGUCAUAUAUGCUUGAUAUGUUCCCCCAAGGAGGCGAGUUGGCUCAGUCGGUACAGUGUCUGCCUGUCGAACCAAAGAUCUUGGGU
This 3090-nucleotide long non-coding RNA is filed under the name Strongylocentrotus purpuratus (purple sea urchin). RNAcentral describes it as "uncharacterized LOC115926606, transcript variant X1". Lineage: Eukaryota; Metazoa; Echinodermata; Echinoidea; Camarodonta; Strongylocentrotidae. The record is from RNAcentral.